UACGUAGGGGGCUAGCGUUAUCCGGAAUUACUGGGCGUAAAGGGUGCGUAGGUGGUUUCUUAAGUCAGAGGUGAAAGGCUACGGCUCAACCGUAGUAAGCCUUUGAAACUGGGAAACUUGAGUGCAGGAGAGGAGAGUGGAAUUCCUAGUGUAGCGGUGAAAUGCGUAGAUAUUAGGAGGAACACCAGUUGCGAAGGCGGCUCUCUGGACUGUAACUGACACUGAGGCACGAAAGCGUGGGGAGCAAACCGG
Molecule: ribosomal RNA, 252 nt
Filed under: uncultured bacterium
Lineage: Bacteria
Description: partial 16S ribosomal RNA
Rfam family: Bacterial small subunit ribosomal RNA
Source: RNAcentral